UACGGGGGGGGUAAGCGUUGUUCGGAAUUACUGGGCGUAAAGGGCGCGUAGGCGGCCAACUAAGUCAGACGUGAAAUCCCCAGGCUCAACCUGGGAACUGCGUCUGAUACUGGAUGGCUCGAGUUCGGGAGAGGGAAGCGGAAUUCCAGGUGUAGCGGUGAAAUGCGUAGAUAUCUGGAGGAACACCGGUGGCGAAGGCGGCUUCCUGGACCGACACUGACGCUGAGGCGCGAAAGCUAGGGGAGCAAACGGG
RNAcentral lists this ribosomal RNA (253 nucleotides) under uncultured bacterium. RNAcentral's name for it is "partial 16S ribosomal RNA". It matches the Rfam family "Bacterial small subunit ribosomal RNA", at positions 524 to 776 of the family's 1533-position model. The record is from RNAcentral.